Long non-coding RNA from Gadus macrocephalus (Pacific cod), 898 nucleotides. RefSeq lists it as uncharacterized. NCBI's taxonomy places the organism in Eukaryota, Metazoa, Chordata, Actinopteri, Gadiformes, Gadidae. The transcript is spliced from 3 exons. The record is from RefSeq and is a predicted model, not a curated record.
UUAAGAUCAAGUCCACAGAAACCAGUAUUUUACGUCAACGUGAAUGCUAUUGUUGACUUCAUAAAAGUGGAGACAUACUCAGAGUAGCUGAUUGUAAAACUGAAAUACACCUGAGAGCACUCCUUACAAGCUAUUUGGGGAACAUCCAGAGAACAAAUAUGCCAGUGUUGAAAAUGCUUCGGACCAUUUCAUUCCAUCUUCUGAUAGGCCUAUGUCUAAUUGCACAUGGCACAGCCGCAGCUACAACCACUCCUGCAGCUACAAGCCCAGCUGCAACAUCCAGUCCUGGUGCCACAAGCCCAGCUGCAACAUCCAGUCCUGGUGCUACCAGCCCAGCUAUAACAUCCAGUCCUGGUGCCACAAGCCCAGCUGCAACAUCCAGUCCUGGUGCUACCAGCCCAGCUAUGACAUCCACGGCUGGCAUCCCGAUAACCAUGAACACUGCUGCUGCCACAAGCAACGCUAUGAACAACACAGCUGCCGUAACAACAGGAGUUGCUACAACAGCAAACACCACAAGCAGUGCGGCUACAUCAAUUGGAAUAUUCCACCAAAUCUGCCUUCUACUCUGCAUGGCUUUAUUAACAGUAGGCCUAACAGUUGGUAUAUAAUCCUUGAUAUUAAUUAUUUUUAACACAACCUUAAUAAUUGGGGAUUUUCUUGAUUUUUGCAUUCCCUUUAACAUCUAUGUAGGCCGAUCAUGGGGGAUAUGUUUGUGGAGCAAAUAGUAUCUAUUUAGCCUUGAUAACAUUAUCUUAUUGUAAUAUUAUACAAGUCAUUUUAUGAUGCAACGUGCUGUGGGCUUUAGAAAAUGACAUUCGAAAAACGUGUUUCACUAAAUGUUUGCGAAACUCCAAUAUUUGUUUGUCCCUUAAUUAAACAACUUUCAUAAUGUCAA